UGUAAUCCCAGCACUUUGGGAGGCUGAGGCGGGCGGAUCACUAGGUCAGGAGAUCGAGACCAUCCUGGCUAACAGGGUGAAACCCUGUCUCUAUUAAAAAUACAAAAACAAAAUUAGCCGGGCGUGGUGGCAGGCACCUAUAGUCCCAGCUACUAGGGAGGCUGAGGCGGGAGAAUGGCGUGAACCUGGGAGGCGGAGCUUGCAGUGAGCCGAGAUGGCACCACUGCACUCCAGCCUGGGUGACAGAAUAAGACUCCAUCUCAAGAAAAAAAAAAAAAUUAGCCAGGUCUGGUGCCAUGUGCCCGUAAGCCUAGCUACUCUGGAGUCUGAGGCUGGAGGAUUGCUUAAGCUCAGGAGUUCAAACCUGCAGUAAGCUGUGAUUUUGCCACUACACUUCAGCCUGUAUGACGGAGCAAGAGACACUGUCUCAAAAAUAAAUAAUAAAAGUGUAAUGGAUGCACAACUUUUCAUUCACUUACUCUAUUCUUUUUUUGUUUUUGUUUUUGUUCUGAAAUGGCAUCUCACUCUGUCGCCCAGGCAGGAGUGUAGUGGCGGGAUCUUGGCCCACUGCAACCUCUGCUUCUCAGACUCAAGAGAUCCUCCCAGCUCAGCCUCCCAAGUAGCUAGGACCACAGCACUGUUCAGGCCCCAGGAAACAAUCUCUACAUGUGGCACUCGACUCUGAAAACAACAAGUCAAGUGUCCUGAUACUUCACGGAUGAUGCCACUGCAGACAUAGGAGACAGACGCUGCUUCAAGAGAGGAUUUGAGUGAACUUGAACUUAGAGGAGUUGAAUCGUGUCCCCCCAGAAGGAUAUGUUGAAGUCCUAACCCCGUGCACCAGUGAAUGUGACCUCAUUUGGAGACAAGACCUUUGCAGAUGAAAGGACAUAGACCGAAGUGCUGCAGCUGCAAGCCAAGGAAUGACUGGGGCUACCAGGAGCGGGAAGAGGCAAGGACAGAUCCUCCCGAGGCUUUGGAGGGAGCGUGGCCCUGCCAACACUUCUUUGCCUGUGUGAACUUCUGGCCUCCAGAACUGCGAGAGAGACCAUUCUGUGUUGUUUGAAGCCACCAAGUUUGUGGUAUUUGUUACAGCGUAAGGAGGACAUCCUCUGAGCAUCUCCUCCCACUGCCUGUCCCAGCCCAGCCAGAAACUGCCCCCCUGGGCUUUGAGAAGCAGCACAGGACCACAGGCAUGUCAUUCCAUUGCCUCAGUUUUAAAUAUUUAUUUAAAAUCCAGAGGGGAAAAGGAGAAACGGAACCCAUUGGGGUUUUAAUACACUGACAUGUGGACAGAGACAUAAACGAAGACAGCAGGAAAAUCCAAGAAUGAGACAGAGGCCAGUGGAUUCUGGCGGCAGGAGGGAUCUGAGCGCUGAGAUGAGGCCUGAGCUGCUACAAACAUGCACUUCCACGCAGAGCGUCCAGGCUGGGGCAGCAGGGCGAGGAUACAGAGGUGUCGGGAGGGGAGACGGGCCAAAGUGAGGUAUUAAAUAAUGAAAAUCAAAUCCAAUUCCCAAAGACACACAACUUUAGGAGAGAAAUACACAAA
Symphalangus syndactylus (siamang) is the source of this 1552-nucleotide long non-coding RNA. RefSeq lists it as uncharacterized. The record is from RefSeq and is a predicted model, not a curated record. Lineage: Eukaryota; Metazoa; Chordata; Mammalia; Primates; Hylobatidae.